UACGGGGGGAGCAAGCGUUGUUCAGAUUUACUGGGCGUAAAGGGCGCGUAGGCGGCCAGCGGAAGUCAGUUGUGAAAUCUCCGGGCUUAACUCGGAACGGUCAACUGAUACUGCGCGGCUAGAGUGCAGAAGGGGCAACUGGAAUUCUCGGUGUAGCGGUGAAAUGCGUAGAUAUCGAGAGGAACACCUGCGGCGAAGGCGGGUUGCUGGGCUGACACUGACGCUGAUGCGCGAAAGCUAGGGUAGCGAACGGG
RNAcentral lists this ribosomal RNA (254 nucleotides) under uncultured bacterium. RNAcentral's name for it is "partial 16S ribosomal RNA". It matches the Rfam family "Bacterial small subunit ribosomal RNA", at positions 524 to 776 of the family's 1533-position model. The record is from RNAcentral.